This 73-nucleotide transfer RNA is filed under the name Camelus bactrianus (Bactrian camel). It matches the Rfam family "tRNA". Rfam says of the family: Transfer RNA (tRNA) molecules are approximately 80 nucleotides in length. Their secondary structure includes four short double-helical elements and three loops (D, anti-codon, and T loops). The record is from Rfam by way of RNAcentral. Lineage: Eukaryota; Metazoa; Chordata; Mammalia; Artiodactyla; Camelidae. RNAcentral also lists the same sequence under 2 other names.
AGGGGUAUAGCUCAAGUGGUAGAGCACAUGCUUAGCAUGCAUGACGUCCUGGGUUCAUUCCCAAGUACCCCCU